UGAGCUGGCCAGGCGGCCGCGUGAUCUUCGGAUCCCGAGGAACGUCCGGGCUCCACAGGGCAGGGUGAUGGCUAACGGCCACCCGGGGUGACCCGCGGGACAGUGCCACAGAGAGAAGACCGCCCUCGCCUCACGGCGAGGGUAAGGGUGAAAGGGUGAGGUAAGAGCUCACCGCGCGACCGGUGACGGAAGCGGCAAGGUAAACCCCACCCGGAGCAAGGCCAGACAGGAAGCGCUUGAGGGCUGCCCGCCCGAUGCUUCCGGGUAGGCUGCUCGAGCCCUGGAGCAAUCCAGGGCCUAGAUGGAUGGCCGCCCCUCGCGCCUCGGCGCGAGAGACAGAACCCGGCGUAUCGGCCAGCUCAUCCG
Molecule: RNase P RNA, 366 nt
Filed under: Demequina zhanjiangensis
Lineage: Bacteria; Bacillati; Actinomycetota; Actinomycetes; Micrococcales; Demequinaceae
Description: RNase P RNA component class A
Rfam family: Bacterial RNase P class A
About the family: Ribonuclease P (RNase P) is a ubiquitous endoribonuclease, found in archaea, bacteria and eukarya as well as chloroplasts and mitochondria. Its best characterised activity is the generation of mature 5'-ends of tRNAs by cleaving the 5'-leader elements of precursor-tRNAs.
Source: RNAcentral